GAUGAACGCUGGCGGCGUGCCUAAUACAUGCAAGUCGAGCGAACAGACGAGGAGCUUGCUCCUCUGAUGUUAGCGGCGGACGGGUGAGUAACACGUGGAUAACCUACCUAUAAGACUGGGAUAACUUCGGGAAACCGGAGCUAAUACCGGAUAACAUGUUGAACCGCAUGGUUCAACAGUGAAAGACGGUCUUGCUGUCACUUAUAGAUGGAUCCGCGCCGCAUUAGCUAGUUGGUAAGGUAACGGCUUACCAAGGCAACGAUGCGUAGCCGACCUGAGAGGGUGAUCGGCCACACUGGAACUGAGACACGGUCCAGACUCCUACGGGAGGCAGCAGUAGGGAAUCUUCCGCAAUGGGCGAAAGCCUGACGGAGCAACGCCGCGUGAGUGAAGAAGGUCUUCGGAUCGUAAAACUCUGUUAUUAGGGAAGAACAAAUGUGUAAGUAACUAUGCACGUCUUGACGGUACCUAAUCAGAAAGCAACGGCUAACUACGUG
Molecule: ribosomal RNA, 497 nt
Filed under: uncultured bacterium
Lineage: Bacteria
Description: partial 16S ribosomal RNA
Rfam family: Bacterial small subunit ribosomal RNA
Source: RNAcentral